RNAcentral lists this ribosomal RNA (785 nucleotides) under uncultured bacterium. RNAcentral's name for it is "bacterial SSU rRNA". It matches the Rfam family "Bacterial small subunit ribosomal RNA", at positions 29 to 917 of the family's 1533-position model. The record is from RNAcentral.
GCGAACGCUGGCGGCGCGCCUAACACAUGCAAGUCGAACGAAGUGGCGAACGGGUGAGUAACGCGUGAGGAACCUGCCUCAAAGAGGGGGACAACAGUUGGAAGCGACUGCUAAUACCGCAUACUUUGAGAUGGCCUCGCGUCCGAUUAGCUAGUUGGUGAGGUAAUGGCCCACCAAGGCGACGAUCGGUAGCCGGACUGAGAGGUUGAACGGCCACAUUGGGACUGAGACACGGCCCAGACUCCUACGGGAGGCAGCAGUGGGGAAUAUUGCACAAUGGGGGAAACCCUGGUGCAGCGACGCCGCGUGGAGGAAGAAGGUCUUCGGAUUGUAAACUCCUGUUGUUGAGGAAGCGGUACUCAACAAGGAAGUGACGGCUAACUACGUGCCAGCAGCCGCGGUAAAACGUAGGUCACAAGCGUUGUCCGGAAUUACUGGGUGUAAAGGGAGCGCAGGCGGGAAGACAAGUUGGAAGUGAAAUCCAUGGGCUCAACCCAUGAACUGCUUUCAAAACUGUUUUUCUUGAGUAGUGCAGAGGUAGGCGGAAUUCCCGGUGUAGCGGUGGAAUGCGUAGAUAUCGGGAGGAACACCAGUGGCGAAGGCGGCCUACUGGGCACCAACUGACGCUGAGGCUCGAAAGUGUGGGUAGCAAACAGGAUUAGAUACCCUGGUAGUCCACACUGUAAACGAUGAUUACUAGGUGUUGGACAGUGCCGCAGUUAACACAAUAAGUAAUCCACCUGGGGAGUACGACCGCAAGGUUGCAACUCAAAUGAAUUGACGGA